CGUGACCGUCGCGACUGGCGUUGGGUGGGUCACCACCGGGGAGCGACCACAACGGCUAUCGACCGCACGCCUGGGUCGGGGUU
This 83-nucleotide non-coding RNA is filed under the name Microbacterium sp. Its description in RNAcentral is "ZTP sequence". It matches the Rfam family "ZMP/ZTP riboswitch aptamer (pfl RNA motif)". From Rfam's summary of the family: Previously known as pfl RNA. Lineage: Bacteria; Bacillati; Actinomycetota; Actinomycetes; Micrococcales; Microbacteriaceae. RNAcentral also lists the same sequence under 1 other name. The record is from RNAcentral.